AGUGGGGAAUCUUGGACAAUGGGGGCAACCCUGAUCCAGCCAUGCCGCGUGGACGAUGAAGGCCUUAGGGUUGUAAAGUCCUUUCGCCGGGGAAGAUAAUGACGGUACCCGGAGAAGAAGCCCCGGCUAACUCCGUGCCAGCAGCCGCGGUAAUACGGAGGGGGCUAGCGUUGUUCGGAAUUACUGGGCGUAAAGCGCACGUAGGCGGAUAGUUAAGUCGGGGGUGAAAUCCCGGGGCUCAACCCCGGAACUGCCUUCGAUACUGGCUGUCUGGAGGAUGGGAGAGGCGAGUGGAAUUCCGAGUGUAGAGGUGAAAUUCGUAGAUAUUCGGAGGAACACCAGUGGCGAAGGCGGCUCGCUGGCCCAUUUCUGACGCUGAGGUGCGAAAGCGUGGGGAGCAAA
RNAcentral lists this ribosomal RNA (402 nucleotides) under uncultured Paracoccaceae bacterium. Its description in RNAcentral is "bacterial SSU rRNA". It matches the Rfam family "Bacterial small subunit ribosomal RNA", at positions 353 to 772 of the family's 1533-position model. Lineage: Bacteria; Pseudomonadati; Pseudomonadota; Alphaproteobacteria; Rhodobacterales; Paracoccaceae. The record is from RNAcentral.